Molecule: ribosomal RNA, 484 nt
Filed under: uncultured bacterium
Lineage: Bacteria
Description: partial 16S ribosomal RNA
Rfam family: Bacterial small subunit ribosomal RNA
Source: RNAcentral
AUUGAACGCUGGCGGCAGGCCUAACACAUGCAAGUCGAGCGGAUGAAGGGAGCUUGCUCCUGGAUUCAGCGGCGGACGGGUGAGUAAUGCCUAGGAAUCUGCCUGGUAAUGGGGGAUAACGUCCGGAAACGGGCGCUAAUACCGCAUACGUCCUGAGGGAGAAAGUGGGGGAUCUUCGGACCUCACGCUAUCAGAUGAGCCUAGGUCGGAUUAGCUAGUUGGUGGGGUAAAGGCCUACCAAGGCGACGAUCCGUAACUGGUCUGAGAGGAUGAUCAGUCACACUGGAGCUGAGACACGGUCCAGACUCCUACGGGAGGCAGCAGUGGGGAAUAUUGGACAAUGGGCGAAAGCCUGAUCCAGCCAUGCCGCGUGUGUGAAGAAGGUCUUCGGAUUGUAAAGCACUUUAAGUUGGGAGGAAGGGCAGUAAGUUAAUACCUUGCUGUUUUGACGUUACCAACAGAAUAAGCACCGGCUAACUUCGUG